RNAcentral lists this ribosomal RNA (497 nucleotides) under uncultured bacterium. RNAcentral describes it as "partial 16S ribosomal RNA". It matches the Rfam family "Bacterial small subunit ribosomal RNA", at positions 28 to 507 of the family's 1533-position model. The record is from RNAcentral.
GAUGAACGCUGGCGGCGUGCUUAAUACAUGCAAGUCGAACGAACGGACGCGAAGCUUGCUUUUGUGAUUUUAUCGGCGGACAAGGGAUUAACACGUGGUUAACCUACCUAUCCGAUUGGCUGAAUUUCGGGAUACCGGAGCUAAUACCGGAUAAUAUUUUGAGUCGCACGGUUCAAAAGUGAGAGACGGUCUUUCUGUCACUUAUGGAUGGGUCCGCGGUGCAUUAGCUAGUUGGUAAGGUAACGGCUUACCAAGGCGACGAUGCAUAGCCGACCUGAGAGGGUGAUCGGCCACACUAGAACUGAGACGAGGUCCAGACUCCUACGGGAGGCAGCAGUAGGGAAUCUUCCGCAAUGGGCGAAAGCCUGACGGAGCAACGCCGCGUGAGUGAUGAAGGUCUUCGGAUCGUAAAACUCUGUUAUUAGGGAAGAACAUAUGUGUAAGUAACUGUGCACAUCUUGACGGUACCUAAUCAGAAAGCCACGGCUAACUACGUG